This 63-nucleotide transfer RNA is filed under the name Curculionidae sp. BMNH 1040049. RNAcentral describes it as "tRNA-Tyr". The record is from RNAcentral. Lineage: Eukaryota; Metazoa; Arthropoda; Insecta; Coleoptera; Curculionidae.
AGUAAAAUGGCUGAUAAAAGCGGUAAAUUGUAAAUUUACUUAUAAAAGAAAUUUUUUUUACUA